UACGUAGGGUGCAAGCGUUAAUCGGAAUUACUGGGCGUAAAGCGUGCGCAGGCGGUUAUGCAAGACAGAUGUUAAAUCCCCGGGCUCAACCUGGGAACUGCAUUUGUGACUGCAUAGCUGGAGUGCGGCAGAGGGGGAUGGAAUUCCGCGUGUAGCAGUGAAAUGCGUAGAUAUGCGGAGGAACACCGAUGGCGAAGGCAAUCCCCUGGGCCUGCACUGACGCUCAUGCACGAAAGCGUGGGGAGCAAACAGG
This 253-nucleotide ribosomal RNA is filed under the name uncultured bacterium. RNAcentral describes it as "partial 16S ribosomal RNA". It matches the Rfam family "Bacterial small subunit ribosomal RNA", at positions 524 to 776 of the family's 1533-position model. The record is from RNAcentral.